Molecule: ribosomal RNA, 505 nt
Filed under: Eucephalobus cf. oxyuroides JH-2004
Lineage: Eukaryota; Metazoa; Nematoda; Chromadorea; Rhabditida; Cephalobidae
Description: SSU rRNA
Rfam family: Eukaryotic small subunit ribosomal RNA
Source: RNAcentral
CGCGAAUAGCUCAUUACAACAGCUAUAAUUCACUUGAUCUUGACACAAUCCUACUUGGAUAACUGUGGUAAUUCUAGAGCUAAUACAUGCAUUAAAGCUCUGACCUCACGGAAAGAGUGCAUUUAUUAGAACAAAACCAAGCGGCUUCGGCUGUUUUCGGUUGACUCAUAGUAACUGAGCUGAUCGCAUGGUCUUGCACCGGCGACGUGUCUUUCAAGUAUCUGCCGUAUCAACUUUCGAUGGUAGUGUAUCUGACUACCAUGGUGAUCACGCGUAACGGAGAAUAAGGGUUCGACUCCGGAGAGUUCGCCUGAGAAAUCGCGAACACAUCUAAGGAAGGCAGCAGGCGCGAAAAUUACCCACUCUCAGCACGAGGAGGUAGUGACGAAAAAUAACGAGACCGUUCUCUUUCGAGGCCGGUCAUCGGAAUGGGUACAAUUUAAACCCUUUAACGAGUAUCUAUGAGAGGGCAAGUCUGGUGCCAGCAGCCGCGGUAAUUCCAGCU